GCACAGUGGGAGCUAAAGAGUUUCACAAAGGGCAGGGUUAUUUCAGAAGGUGCUGGCAUAUUACGGGAGUGGGAGAGGACCCAGAGUAUUUCAGCGAGAUGCUGGAGUCUUCCAGGGUGGCCUAGAAUAUUUCAGAGAUGGAAUCUCAUUCUGUCGCCCAGGCUGGUCUCGGCUCACUGCAACCUCCGCCUCCCGGAUUUAAGCAAUUCUCCUGCCUCAGCCUCUUAAGUGGCUGGGAUUACAGACGCCUGCCCCUAUGCCUGGCUAAGUUUUGUAUUUUUAGUAGAGAUGGGAUUUUACCAUGUUGGCCAAGCUGAUUUCAAACUCCUGACCUUGUGAUCUGCCCACCGCCACCUCCCAAAGUGCUGGAAUUACAGGCAAGAGCCACCGCACCCGGCCUAUACCCGUUUACAGACAGAGAAAGCAAGACUUAGAGAAGAUAAGAGCGGGGUGCCUAGUACAGUUGGUGCUUCUGAUUCUCAUUCUGAACUGACUGACUGAAUGGAUGGAUAAAUUAAGAAGAGAGAGGUGGGAGUGAGGUGGUCAAGGUUAAGGUGCCAACCUCACCUCUCAUCCGGGUUCAAUCAUGCCCACAACCAUGCCCACCAUCUUGUCCCUGGCUCCCAACCACCUGAGGGACCACAGUCCUUGGGAGCUGGCCACUCUGCUGGGUGUGCUGAAAUCCUCUAAGAUGAAUAAAGAGAAACCUUUCCUGCCAAGCAGCUGACAAGUUUGGUUCUGCCUGAGAAUUGAGACUGCAGACUCCGUGGGGAGGGUUCACCCCCAAACGCCUAAGAGCUACCAAAAGAUUACAGGUAAAAAAUUAGCCCAGCUGCUUUCUCAGAGGCCCUAGGGAAAUAAGGGAAGCUCGUUCUUUAUUACAGCAAGAAUUAUUUCAGUUAGACUGCAGAAGGACUUGACAGAGAAGGGGAACAAACCAGAUAGGGAAUUCCUUAUCGAAUCAUGGAAAUGAUACAUGUGGUCCCUGUAGGCAGCUUUAUAGGGUAAGCUUUGGAAAAGGAGGGAGGCUGAGUGAGUAGGAACCACGGUUCCCACAGUUCCUGCACAGGGGAACCAUUGUCUAAUGGAGGGGACAUGUCAUAUCCCCCGGUCAAGAGCCAAAUGAAAAGGCCACAUGGAAAGGAGAGGGGGAGGGCACCCUGAUAAAAGGAGUCCAUGUGGUCACAUGGGAGCUAUUCCUGGAGGAGCAGGGGUGAGAGGAGUGUGAAGGUGUCCCAGGGAAGAAGUCGAGUUUAUCAAACCUCUGCUGAGACCCAGAACCAUGCUAAUGAGCACUUUACAUAUGGUGUCACAUUUCAUCCAUUCAUUCAACAAAUAUUUACUCAAUGUGCCAGGCCCUGUGCUAGGGCUUGAGGAGAGAGCUGUGAACAAGGCAGAUCCAGGCUCCCCUCUUGGAACUUAGAAGUGGAGGAGACAGUCAACAGAUGUGUGAUGUCAGGGGUGAUGCUUGCUUUGAAGGGAAGAAAGCAAGGAGGGGCUAGAAUGUUGGCAAUCAGGGGUCAGGGCUGAAUAAGAGAAAAAACAUUUUUUUUUAAGUGAAAGAAGGCCUCUCUGCAGAGGUGACAUUUAGCAGUGACCUGAAUGAAGUGAGGGAACCUUGAGCGCAAAGGCCCCAGGCAAGAGUCUGCCUGGGAGGCCUGAGCAAGGGGAACCGAGAGAUGUGCUCUUGCUGGUGGACCUUGUCCGCUACAGGAAGGAUGUUUGAUUUUAUUAUCAAUGUGAUGGGCUGAGUAAUAUGGUUUAUGUUUUAAAAUAAUUUUUAAUUUAGUUUUUGAAUAGAUAAUACAUCCGUAUGGUUCAAAAAGAAAAACAUAUUUUAAAACCCUGUAAAGUGUAACGGCUCUGCCAGCCUCACUCCUAUCUCCGUCCCUCAUCUCCUUAUUUCUUCCCUUCUGCCAACCACAUUCGUGAGUUUUUUGGUUGUCUUCCUUCCAAGAUUUCUUUAGGCAAAUACAAGCAUAUAUUCACUUAAUAUUUAUAUAAUACUUACUAUGUGCUGGACCUUCUUAUAAAUUCUUUAAGAGAUUAUUAACUCAUUUAAUCUUUAUAACCCAAUCCUAGGAGGUAAUUUUUUUUUUUGUUUCGAGACAGAGUCUUGCUUUGUUGCCCAGGCUGGAGUGCAGUGGAGUGAUCUCAGCUCACUGCAACCACUGCCUCCCAGGUUCAAGCGAUUCUCCUGCCUCAGCCUCCCAAGCAGCUGGGACUAAGGGGCACCCCACCAUGCCUGGCCAAUUUUUGUAUUUUUAGUAGAGAUGAGGUUUUACCAUGUUGGCCAGGCUGGUCUUGAACUCCUGACCUCAGGUGAUCCACCUGCCUCAGCCUCCCAAAGUGCUGGGAUUGCAGGUGUGUGCCACCAUGCCCAGCCUCUUUUUUUUUUUUUUGAGACAGGGUCUCGCUCUGUUGCCCAGGCUGGAGUGUGGUCACAAGCUCACAGCUCACUGCAGCCUCAACCUCCUGGGCUGAAGCGAUUUUCCCACCUCAUUCUCCCAAGUAGUGGGACUACAGGUGUGUACCACUACUCCCGGCUAACUUUUGUAUUUUAUUUUAUUUUUUGUAGAACCCCUAGCCAUGUUGCCCAGGCUGGUCUCAAACUUUUGAGUUCAAGUGAUCCUCCUGCCUCAGCCUCCCGAGGUGCUGGGAUUACAAAUGUGAGCCACUGUGCCAGCCAGCUAAGUACAGUGCUCCCUAUUUUACAGAUAAGGAAUCUAGAACACAGAGAGAUGAACUAACCUGGCCAGGGUUGCACAGCUUCUAAGGAGCCAUGUUAGUUCCUAGGGCUGCCAUGACAAACUGAAUGGCUUAAGACAACAGAAUUGAUUCUCUCACAGUUCUAGAGGUGAGAAGUCCAAAAGCCAGGUAUUGGCAGGGCUCAUGCCUUCUAGGGGCUCCAGAAUCUGUUCCAGGCUUCUCUCCCAGCUCCGGGUGUUGCUGGGAAUCCUCAGCAUUCCUUGGUUUGUAGAUGGUUCACUCCAAUCGGCUGUGUCUUCACAUGGCAUUCUCCAUCAUCUCUGUCUCUGUGUCCACAUUUUCUUUCUCUUAUAAGGACACCAGUCAUAUUGGAUUUAGGCCCACGCUGAUCAGGAAUGACCUCAUCUUAACUUGAUUAUGUCGGCAAAUACCUUAUGCUCAAAUAAGGUCACAUUCACAGGUUCUGGUGGGCAUGAAUUUGGUAGGACACUAUUUAACCCAGUACAGUAGCAGAACUUGCAUCUGAACUCAGGCAGACCAGCUUCUGAGUGUGUGCUCUUAGUCACAGGUUAUAUGGUUAUACUGCCACUCAGUAAGAAUAUAUAUAAUUUAUUAUAGAUUCAUAUAAUAUAUAUAACAUACAACAUUAUUAUACAUAUUAUAAGAGAUAUAUAUAAUUUCCCUUUUCCUACAAAAGGUAAAAUAUCAUACUUGCUGCUCUAUACCUUGCUUUUUAAAUUUUUACUUAUUUUUGUGACUGAGUCUUGCUCUGUCACCUAAGUUGGAGUGCUGUGCAACCUCUGCCUCCCAGGCUCAAGCACUCCUCCCACCUCAGUCUCCCAAGUAGCUGGGACUAAAGGCACAUGGCACUACACCUGGCUAAUUUUUGUAUUUUUUGUAGAAAUGCAGUUUUGCUGUGUUGCCCAGGUUGGUCUUGAACUCUUGAGCUCAAGUGAUCCGCCCACCUCAACCUCCUAAAAUGCUGGGAUUACAGGCAUAAGCCACCGCACCCUGCACCUUGCUUUUUAAAACUUAGUAUCUUUUUUUUUUUUUUGAGACAGAGUCUUGCUCUAUUGCUCAGGCUGGAGUGUAGUGGUGCACUCUUGGCUCACUGCAGCCUCCACCUCCCAAGUUCAAGCGACUCUCCUGCUUCAGCCUCCCAAGUAGCUGGGACUACAGGUGUGCACCAUCACACCUGGCUAUUUUUUGUAUUUUUAGUAGAGAUAGGGUUUUACCACUUUGGCCAGGCUGGUCUCAAACUCCUGACUGCAAGUGAUCCGCCUCAGCCUCCCAAAGUGCUGGGAUUACAGGUGUGAGCCACCAUGCCUGGCCAAACUUAGUAUCCUUUAUUUUAUUUAUUUUUUGAAAUGGAGUUUCGCUCUUGUUGCCCAGGGUGGAGUGCAAUGGUGCGACCUUGGCUCACUGCAACCUCUGCCUCCUGGAUUCAAGCGAUUCUCCUGCGUCAGGCUCCCAAGUAGCUAGGACUACAGGCACACACCACCAUGUCCGGCUAAUUUUGUAUUUUUAGUAGAGACAGGGUUUCUCCAUGUUGGUCACGCUGGUCUCAAACUCCCGACCUCAGGUGAUCUGCCCACCUCGGCCUCCCAAAGUGCUGGGAUUACAGGUGUGAGCCACCACACCUGGCCCUUAGUUUUUAUAAAACUUUCCCUAUUAGAACACACAGAUCACCGUUUCUGGUGGCAGGGUCUGGGAAAGGGGCAUCAGGUGCCAUGUCCAGCCUCGAAGGUGGCAAGAAGCCCCUGAAACAGCCCAAGAAGCAGGCCAAGGAGAUGGACGAGGACAAUAAGGCUUUCAAGCAGAAGCAAAAAGAAGAGCAGAAGAAACUCAAGGAACUAAAAGCGAAGGUCAUGGGAAGGGCCAUGGUGGAAUUAAGAAAUCUGGAAAAAGUAAGCUAUUCCUUUUCCCUGAGGAGUUGGUGACUUUUUAUUUCAUCCGUAUUUAAACACCUGUAUUCCCUGCCAUAACAUCUUUUGCCACCUAUAGCUGGAUUAAGUGUUGGAGCUAUUGCACAUUUAAGAAUAAACUUUGUAAAAAAAAAAAAAAAAAGAACACACAGAUCUCCCUGACUCCCUGAUUCUUUUUCAUAGCCACAUAGUAUUCCAUUUUAUGGGUGGAUUGUGUUCUACCUAAUCUAGCCCCUUACUAAUGGACAGUUGAGUUGUUUCCAAUCUUUGGCAAUUACAAACAGUGCUGCUGAGAAUAACUUUAAACAUACAUGAUUUAUUACUCAUGCAAGUCUAUCUGAAGCAUAAAUUCCCAGAAAUACGUUAUCUGAAUGCAUUUUGAUAGAUUUCGCCAAAAUGCCCUUUUACCAAUUUAUAUUCACAUGUGUGAGAGUCAUGUGUGAGAGCACACAUGUAAGAGUAGUACUAUUUCCUCAUAGACAUGGUCACAGGGCCGGGCGAGGUGGCUCAUGUCUGUGAUCCCAGCGCUUUGGGAGGCUUAGGCAGGCGGAUCACAAAAUCAGGAGACUGAGACCAUCCUGGCCAACAUGGUGAAACCCCACCCAUCUUUACUAAAAAUACAAAAAUUAGUUGAGUGUGGCAGUGCAUGCCUGUAACCCCAGCUACUUGGGAGGCUGAGGCGGGAGAAUUGCUUGAACCCAGGAGUCAGAGGUUGCGGUGAGCUGAGAUCUCACCACUGUAUUCUAGCCUAGAAACAGAGCAAGACUCAGUCUCAAAAAAAAAAAAAAAAAAAAAGGAAAAAAAGAAAUUGCCCACAGAAUAUGUUAUUCAACUUUGUCAUUGCUUUUUUUUUUUGUAGCCAGACUGAUAAGACAUCUUAAUCCGUUUUGUGCUGCUAUAAUAAAAUCCCACAGAAUGGAAUAAUAGUCAUAAACAGAAAUGUAUUGGCUCACAGUUUUGAGGCUGGGAAUUCCAAGAUUGUGGGGCCCACAUCUGGCAUGGACCCUCUUGCUGGGUCGUCCUAUGGUGGAAGGGCAAAGAGAGUGUGAGAGAGAGGAAGAGGGAACUGAACUUGCCCUUUUAUAAUGAACCUGUUUCCAAAAUAAUAAACCCACGCCUGCUGUAACAGCACCACCAACCCAUUCAUGAGGUGGAACCCUCACGACCUAAACACCUCUCUUAGGCCCAGCCUCCCAACACUGCUGCAUUGGGAUUAAGUUUCUAGCACCUGCUUUUCUGGGCAUAAUGUUCAAACUGUAGCAAUAUCCUAGUCUAGUUUUUCUGGUUUGCAUUUCUUUUGAGUUUGAGCUUCUCUUCUUGUAUUCAAGAGUCUUUGGAUUUGCUUUUCUGGGAACUGUCAGUUCAUAUGCUAGGCCUCUGUUUCUAUAAGAUUGCUGGUCCUUUUAAUCAAUUUCUAGGAAUUCUUUCUAAAUGAGUGAGAUGUUCCCUUGUCUGUGAUCAGAGUUGCAAAUAUUUCCCCCCAGUUUGUCAUUUGUCUUAUGCGUUGGUUUAUAGUGUUUUUCCAUGCAGAAGUUUCUGAUUUUUAUAUAGUUGACUUUAUCAAUCUUUUUUACAACUUUUUGAUUUUUGAAUCAUGGUUAAACUUUCCCCACUAUGAGAUUAUAAGUUCCCCCAUGUUUUCCUCUAGUGCCUUUAUGGUUUUAUUUUAAUUUUUCUAAAAUUUAAAUUUUUUUUUUUUUUUGAGAUAGAGUCUCACUCUGUAGUCUAGGCUGGAAUGCAGUGGCGUAAUCUUGGCUCACUGCAACCACCGUCUUCCAGGUCCUGGUUCAAGCAAUUCUCCUGCCUCAGCCUCCCGAGUAGCUGGAAUUACAGGCACACACCACCAUGCCCAGUUAAUUUUUUUUUUUUUUUUGAGACAGAGUCUUGCUCUGUCACCCAGGCUAGAGUGCAGUGAGUGGCGUGAUCUUGGCUCACUGCAACCUCCGCCUCCCAGGUUCAAGCAAUUCUCUGCCUCAGCCUCCCAAUUAGCUGGGAUUACAGGUGCCUGCCACCAUACCUGGCUAAUUAUUUUCGUAUUUUUAGUAGAGACAGGGUUUCACCAUGUUAGCCAGCCUGGUCUUGAACUCCUGACCUCAUGUGAUCCACCCACCUCGGCCUCCCAAAGUACUGGAAUUACAGGCAUGAGCCACAGCACCCGGCCUAAAAUUUAAAUCUUUUAUCCCACCUGGAGCUCAUCCAGGUGUUCAGUGUGGGCCACAGAUCUAAUUUUUUUUCCCUAGUUGGCUAUCGAGGUGUCCCAACACCACUUAUUAAAGAGUCCAUUUUCCACUUUGAGAGGCCACCUUUAUCAAAUACUAAAUUCCCGUGUGCAAUUAGGUCUAUUCCUGGACUUACUAUUCUAGUCCAUUGGUCUAUUUGUCUGUUCCUGAACCAAACCAAGUUGUUUUAAUUAUUAUUUUUGUUUUGUUUUGUUUGAGACUGAAUCACACUCUGUCACCCAGAUUGGAGUGCAGUGGUGUAAUCUCGGCUCACUGCAAUUUCCGCCUCCCGGGUUCAAGCAAUUCUUCUGCUUCAGCCUCCCGAGUAGCUGGGGUUACAGGUGCCCUCCAUCACGCCUGGCUAAUUUUUGUAUUUUUAGUAGAUACGGGGUUUAACCAUGUUGGCCAGGCUCAUUUUGAACUACUGACCUCAAGUGAUCCACCCGCCUCAGCAUCCCAAAGUGCUGGAUUAAGGUGUGAGCCACUGUGCCGGCCCUAAAUUGUUUUAAUUUUUGAGGCUUUACAUAUUUUAUAGUAGUCGGGUGAGUGUUACCUUUUCUUUUUCAGAAUUUUUCUAGCAUUCUUUUUCUUUCUCUUUCUGUCCUUUGUUGUUUGUUUUCAGGGGUGGGGAACCUCAGGAGACCUCUUGUAGGGGAAAAGAAAAUCAAUAAUUACAUGUCAUUUGGUAGUGGCUAAGAAAAAAAAAUUAAGCGGUAAAAGAACAGAAGGCAACUAAGGAGUAAUAUUUGGAUGGGAAGCAAGGGAAGGCCCCUGGAGGAGGGGGAGAUACCUGAGUGAAGGGAGGGAGACCACGUGGCUACUUGGGGGGAAAACAGGCCUGGCAGAACCAAGGGCGAAUGCAGAGGCCUGAGGCAGGAGCAUGCCUGGCAUGUAGAAAACAGCAAGGCAGCCAGUGUAGCUGGAAGGGAGUGACCAGAGCAGAGAGUGGGAGGCGGUGAGGUAGAUCAUGCAGGGCCUUGUAGGUCACAGCAAGGACACCGGCUUUUCCUCUGACACCAGGAGCCAUGGGGGUGGGAGUUGAGCAGAAGAGUGACAUGUUCUGACUCCCGUUUUAACAGGAUCACUCAGAUUACUGCGUGGAGCACAGACUGCCGGGGUGAGGGCCGCGGCAGAGAGGGCAAUAGGAUUUGGGAUGGGUGAAUAUAUCGUAACUUGGUUUCCUUGUCCAUUUUCCCCUACCUAACUUUGCAAGGACAGGCCCUGAGCUUAUUCAGCUCUAUGAGUGAAGUGCCAGGCCCAGAGUAGGUGCAGAUAAACACUGUGUGAGGAAGAAGUGUGGGAGGACAGAGGAGAUAGAAGGAGGCAGGAGACGCAGAACCCCUGGGAAAUGGCUCUUCAAAGGCCACAGAAAGAAGAGGAAGCAGACAUGAUGACAGAGCCUGUUCCCCAGCAGGAACCCAGGCUGAUAGGGGCUGAAGCUGGGGAGCUGGGCCCCCAGCCCAAUGCCUGCCCAAUCCCAGAUCUGUGGCCUUCAUCAGCAAUCAGGUUAUGUGCAGUUUAUGCUGGAGUUCUGCCACCAAAGGGACCCUGGCGGGCAUGGGGGGCGGGCUCUAUUCCUCAAGGUGCAGGUGCAAAGGUGAGAUCGCCUGGCAGAGAGGAGAGCAGCUUUCCUGAAUCCUGGCACACAGAGGCCCUGAGAAAGGACAAUUCGCCCCCUUUAUAGACGAUGCUGAUAAGCUGCUCCUGGGCAAAGGGGAAAUGGAUUGUGAUGACGUCUCAAGUCCCAGACCUUCAAAUGGACCCAGGCUGUGGGGGAUCUGGCCAGUGCCGACACUUAGUGGUUCUUUCAGGGCCAGGUGAGCCCGCACAUGCCCUCAGGACAGUUGAGCAGGUCUGGGCUCUGCACCAAGUACCUCAGGCAAGGUAAUCACUCUCCCUGGGCCUCAGCUCCGGGAAAUCUCUUGGGCAGUGGUUGGGGUGGGCAGGAAUUAGAGGCCUUCUAAUUGCAAAUGGAGUGGGCUGCUUCAAGAGUAGUUAGCUCCCUGCCUCUGGAGGUACGUAAGCAGGGACUGGGCAAGCACUGGGUAGAGAUUCACUCACUCAUUAAGUCAAUAAACUCCUAUUGAGACUCUUUUUUGGGCCAGGGCCUGUGGCCAUCAUUGUCAUUAGAAGAUAUAGUGACAAGGCAUCUUUACCCUCCUGUAGCUUACAUUUUUUUUUUUCAGAUGGAGUCUUACUCUGUCGCCCAGGCUGGAAUGCAGUGGUGCAAUCUCAGCUCACUGUAACCUCUGCCUCCCAGAUUCAAGCCAUUCUCCCUCCUUCAGCCUCCAGAGCAGCUAGGAUUACAGGUGCCCAGCACCACGACCAGCUAAUUUUUUUUUUUUUUUGAGACAAAAUGUGUCUCUCUGUCACCCAGGCUGGAGUGCAGUGGCGCAAUCUCAGCUCACUGCAACCCCUGACUCCCUGAUUCAAGGGAUUCUCCUGCCUCAGCUUCCCAAGUAGCUAGGAUUACAGGCAUGCACCACCAUGCUCAGCUGAUUUUUGUAUUUUUAGUAGCAAUGGCGUUUCACAAUGUUGGCCAGGAUGGUCUUGAUCUCCUGACCUUGUGAUCAGCCCGCCUCAGCCUCCCAAUGUGCUGGGAUUACAGGCAUGAGCCACCACACUUGGCCUUUUUUUUUUUUUUAAAGAUGGAGUCUUGCUCUAUUGCCCAGGCUGGACUGCAGUGGCACCAUCUUGGCUUACUGCAACCUCUGCCUCCUGGGUUCAGGUGAUUCUUCUGCCUCAGCCUCCCGAGUAGCUAGGAUUACAGGCAUGUGACACCACACCCGGCUAAUUUUUUUGUGUUUUUAGUAGAGACAGGGUUUCAGCAUCUUGGCCAGGCUGGUCUCGAACUCCUAACUUUGUGAUCUGACCGCCUCGGCCUCCCAAAGUGCUGAGAUUAGAGGCGUGAGUCACCGUACCUGGACUGGCUAGAGUUCAAAGGCUUGAUCUUGGCUUAACUGCAGCCUCAACCUCCUAUACACAAGUGAUCCUCUGGCCUCAGCCUCCCAAUUAGCUGGGACUACAGGUGCAUGCCGCUAUGCCCAGGUAAUUUUUAAAAAUUUUUAGACCGGGCGCGGUGGCUCAAGCCUGUAAUCCCAGCACUUUGGGAGGCUGAGGCGGGUGGAUCACGAGGUCAAGAGAUCGAGACCAUCCCGGUCAACAUGGUGAAACCCUGUCUCUACUAAAAAUACAAAAAAAUUAGCUGGGCAUGGUGGUGUGUGCCUGUAAUCCCAGCAACUCAGGAGGCUGAGGCAGGAGAAUUGCCUGAACCCAGGAGACGGAGGUUGCGGUGAGCCGAGAUCGCGCCAUUGCACUCCAGCCUAGGUAACAAGAGGGAAACUCUGUCUCAAAAAAAAAAAAAAAAAAAAUUUUAAGUAGAGGCUGGGCCUGGCAGCUCAAGCCUGUAAUCCCAGCACUUUGGGAGGCCGAGGCUGGGGGAUCACCUAGAUCAGGAGUUUGAGACCAGCCUGACCAACAUGGUGAAAUCCGGUUUCUACUAAAAAAAUACAAAAUUAGCUGGGAGUGAUGGUGCAUGCCUGUAAUCCCAGCUACCAGGGAGGCUGAGGCAGAAGAAUUGCUUGAACCCAGGAGGCGGAGGUUGCAGUGAGAUGAGAUCGCACCAUUGCACUCCCAUCUGGGCAACAAGAGUGAAACUUCCAAAACUCAGUCUCAAAAAAAAAUUUUUUUUUAGUAGAGAUGGGGUCUCGCUAUGUUGCCCAGGGUGGUCUUGAACUCCUGGCCUCAAGCAAUCAUCUCACCUUGGCCUCCCUAAAUGCUGAGAUUACAGGUGUGAGCCACCACUGCCAACCUAUAACUUACAUUAUAAUGGGGAGAUAUUAAAUAGUGCCAGGAAAGUGUGUGCUCCAUACUGUAGGGGCUGGUCAUGAAAACUCCAACCUCCUACCCCUAUAUAAAGUGACUUCUAAACUGAGAUUUUUUUUUUCUUUUUUUUGAAAUUGAGUCUCUGUCACCUCUCUGUCUCCCAGGUUCCAGCGAUUCUCCUGCCUCAGCCUCCUGAGUAGCUGGGACUGCAGGUGCAUACCACCAUGCUCAGAUAAUUUUUAUAUUUUUAGUAGAGAUGAGGUUUUGCCAUGUUGGCCAGGCUGGUCUUGAACUCCUGACCUCAGGUGAUUCGCCCACCUUGGCUUCCCAAAGUGCUGGGAUUAUAGGCGUGAGCCACUACGUCCAGCCCUAAACUGAGAUUUGAAGAACAAAUACAAGUUAAGUAGGAAAGGGAAGGGUGUUUGGGUCUGAGAACAACAGGUGCAAAGGCUCAGAGGCGAG
This is a non-coding RNA of Callithrix jacchus (white-tufted-ear marmoset), 11140 nucleotides long. The record is from RefSeq and is a predicted model, not a curated record. NCBI's taxonomy places the organism in Eukaryota, Metazoa, Chordata, Mammalia, Primates, Cebidae.